This is a long non-coding RNA of Mauremys reevesii (Reeves's turtle), 660 nucleotides long. RefSeq lists it as uncharacterized. The transcript is spliced from 3 exons. NCBI's taxonomy places the organism in Eukaryota, Metazoa, Chordata, Testudines, Geoemydidae. The record is from RefSeq and is a predicted model, not a curated record.
ACAGCACUACAGAAGCAUCCAGCAAUUUGGGAGCUGUUUUGGGACUGCUAAUUCAACCUUAUAAGAUUAACUCUUUAAAGACCUCCAGCUACCUUGCAAGAUAAGUAAAGGAGGGGAGGGAAUGGAGAGAAGCCAGGGUCCCCUCUUUUAGUUCAAGUUUAACACUAGACAGUGAGUUUAAGGUGGCUACCAUAGACCAAAACUACAGCUAAAAGGACAUCAAUGCUCAUGGGGAAGUAGGAGGAGAGAAAAGGAAUUCAAAUAGUCCAACAAAUCGUAAAUAUUUUUUUAAACAAACAAAAAUCUUCCACAACACAUUCAAAAUGUUUUUUUCAAUCUGUUCCCUAGUACUUAUCUUAUCCUUCUACUAAAGAUAAUUUUUCUCAGGGGAAGUAUACAUUGCAUACCCUCUUGAAACACCUGGGAUUUAAAAUGUGUUUAAAAAUGAAACCUAAAAUUAAGAGACAAGAAGAAAAAGAAGACAUGCCAGGAUGCACAAGAUGAUUACUAUAUUAAGCAAGACUCUACAACACUCUACUCUGUGAGAAAUUCUCUACUACACGACAAACAGAUCAACAGAGACGUGUACCAAGCUUUAGAAAAGACUAAUAUAUCCUACAAUCAACUGAGCCGUGUUUAAAGCAAUAAAACCAGCAGCGC